CUACGUGCCAGCAGCCGCGGUAAUACGUAGGUCCCGAGCGUUGUCCGGAUUUAUUGGGCGUAAAGCGAGCGCAGGCGGUUAGAUAAGUCUGAAGUUAAAGGCUGUGGCUUAACCAUAGUACGCUUUGGAAACUGUUUAACUUGAGUGCAAGAGGGGAGAGUGGAAUUCCAUGUGUAGCGGUGAAAUGCGUAGAGAUGUGGAGGAAUACCGAUGGCGAAGGCAGCCUCCUGGGAUAACACUGACGUUCAUGCUCGAAAGCGUGGGUAGCAAACAGGAUUAGAUACCCUGGUAGUCCACGCCCUAAACGAUGUCGAUUAGCUGUUGGGCAACUUGAUUGCUUGGUAGCGUAGCUAACGCGUGAAAUUGACCGCCUGGGGAGUACGGUCGCAAGAUUAAAACUCAAAGGAAUUGACGGGGACCCGCACAAGCGGUGGAUGAUGUGGAUUAAUUCGAUGCAACGCGAAGAACCUUACCUGGUCUUGACAU
This 486-nucleotide ribosomal RNA is filed under the name uncultured bacterium. RNAcentral describes it as "bacterial SSU rRNA". It matches the Rfam family "Bacterial small subunit ribosomal RNA", at positions 501 to 987 of the family's 1533-position model. The record is from RNAcentral.